UGCGUAGGCGGAUUAUUAAGUCAGUGGUGAAAGUUUACGGCUCAACCGUAAAAGUGCCAUUGAUACUGGUAGUCUUGAGUACAGUAGAGGUAGGCGGAAUUUAUGAUGUAGCGGUGAAAUGCAUAGAUACCAUAAAGAACACCGAUAGCGAAGGCAGCUUACUAUACUGAGACUGACGCUGAGGCACGAAAGCGUGGGGAGCGAACAGGAUUAGAUACCCUGGUAGUC
RNAcentral lists this ribosomal RNA (228 nucleotides) under uncultured bacterium. RNAcentral describes it as "partial 16S ribosomal RNA". It matches the Rfam family "Bacterial small subunit ribosomal RNA", at positions 568 to 795 of the family's 1533-position model. The record is from RNAcentral.